GAACCUCACUUGUGGGGGGAUUAGUGGCGAACGGGUGAGUAACACGUGAGUAACCUGCCCUUAACUCUGGGAUAAGCCUGGGAAACUGGGUCUAAUACCGGAUAUGACUCCUCAUCGCAUGGUGGGGGGUGGAAAGCUUUAUUGUGGUUUUGGAUGGACUCGCGGCCUAUCAGCUUGUUGGUGAGGUAAUGGCUCACCAAGGCGACGACGGGUAGCCGGCCUGAGAGGGUGACCGGCCACACUGGGACUGAGACACGGCCCAGACUCCUACGGGAGGCAGCAGUGGGGAAUAUUGCACAAUGGGCGCAAGCCUGAUGCAGCGACGCCGCGUGAGGGAUGACGGCCUUCGGGUUGUAAACCUCUUUCAGUAGGGAAGAAGCGAAAGUGACGGUACCUGCAGAAGAAGCGCCGGCUAACUACGUGCCAGCAGCCGCGGUAAUACGUAGGGCGCAAGCGUUAUCCGGAAUUAUUGGGCGUAAAGAGCUCGUAGGCGGUUUGUCGCGUCUGCCGUGAAAGUCCGGGGCUCAACUCCGGAUCUGCGGUGGGUACGGGCAGACUAGAGUGAUGUAGGGGAGACUGGAAUUCCUGGUGUAGCGGUGAAAUGCGCAGAUAUCAGGAGGAACACCGAUGGCGAAGGCAGGUCUCUGGGCAUUAACUGACGCUGAGGAGCGAAAGCAUGGGGAGCGAACAGGAUUAGAUACCCUGGUAGUCCAUGCCGUAAACGUUGGGCACUAGGUGUGGGGGACAUUCCACGUUUUCCGCGCCGUAGCUAACGCAUUAAGUGCCCCGCCUGGGGAGUACGGCCGCAAGGCUAAAACUCAAAGGAAUUGACGGGGGCCCGCACAAGCGGCGGAGCAUGCGGAUUAAUUCGAUGCAACGCGAAGAACCUUACCAAGGCUUGACAUGAACCGGAAAUACCUGGAAACAGGUGCCCCGCUUGCGGUCGGUUUACAGGUGGUGCAUGGUUGUCGUCAGCUCGUGUCGUGAGAUGUUGGGUUAAGUCCCGCAACGAGCGCAACCCUCGUUCUAUGUUGCCAGCGCGUGAUGGCGGGGACUCAUAGGAGACUGCCGGGGUCAACUCGGAGGAAGGUGGGGACGACGUCAAAUCAUCAUGCCCCUUAUGUCUUGGGCUUCACGCAUGCUACAAUGGCCGGUACAAAGGGUUGCGAUACUGUGAGGUGGAGCUAAUCCCAAAAAGCCGGUCUCAGUUCGGAUUGGGGUCUGCAACUCGACCCCAUGAAGUCGGAGUCGCUAGUAAUCGCAGAUCAGCAACGCUGCGGUGAAUACGUUCCCGGGCCUUGUACACACCGCCCGUC
RNAcentral lists this ribosomal RNA (1316 nucleotides) under Pseudarthrobacter sulfonivorans. RNAcentral describes it as "bacterial SSU rRNA". It matches the Rfam family "Bacterial small subunit ribosomal RNA", at positions 71 to 1398 of the family's 1533-position model. The record is from RNAcentral. Lineage: Bacteria; Bacillati; Actinomycetota; Actinomycetes; Micrococcales; Micrococcaceae.